CACAGGUCCUUUGCUUCCUCCUGCAGCACAUCCUGGAGCCUGACUCCUGCACAUGGCGGUAGAAAUAGUAACACUGGAUGCUCCAUGGUGAAGGAUUGUCAGAGGAAGAGGAGGACACGCCCCGCCUGAGUUCCUACAAUAUAGGAUCCGCUCAGUGGAUAUCUUCUAUAUAAGAUCCUUCUCUUGAUUGACCCAACAAGAAUGGAUAGAGACAAGGAUAAGAUGGCGGAGAGUAUAAUAAAUCUCACCCUAGAGAUCCUCUUCCGGCUUACUGUAGAGGGCUACACAGUAGUGAAGAAGACCUCUAGUGAGCGCUGUCAGGCCCCUGUGUCUGAAGGAUGGGGAAGAACCCUGAGCCCAAUCAUGGAGCCUCCACCUCACUCCCUGAUACACGAGGAAAUCAAUAAAGAGAAGAUCCUAGAACUCACCAACAAGAUGAUUGAGCUGCUGACUGGAGAGGUUCUUAUAAGGUGUCAGGAUGUCGACGUCUAUUUCUCCAUGGAGGAGUGGGAGUAUUUAGAAGGACACACAGAUCAGUACAAGGACAUUCUGAUGGAGGAUCACCGGCCCCUCACACCACCAGGUAAUAGACAUGACUAAAGGCAUCCUCUCAUUAUCUUUAUGUAAGGAAUGAAUUCAGUCACUGGAUGUGUUUCCUACAGUUAAGGAAGAGAGAACAACACCGGAGAGAUAUACCAGUCCUCUCCUUCCACAGGAUGGUUCAGAAGAAGAUCACAAUGUCCCACAGGAUGAUAAGCUUGUGAAUCUGGGUGAAGAUCUGAACAAUAUUAAUCCUACAGAGACAUAUGUGAGGGGUGAUGAGCAGAGUACAGAGGACAUUUCUACAGAUAACCGCCCAGGUGAGUAGUGACCACUAAGUAAUGCAGAGAAGACCCAUUUUAUGUUACAUUUUUAGGUUCUGUCUUCUGUCUGUUUUUUCAGCGUUAUAUUCACUGAUUCAGCUAAAAUUCUAAAUAAAUAUGGAUGGAAAUGUGACAGCGUUAUAGGUGAUAUACAGUAUGUAUAUGAUGUAUAUAGUCCAUCCUCAGGAGAGGUCAUUAAUAUCAGAUAGGCAGCCUUGUUCUUCAGAUGUAUGGAGAGGACACAGUGCUCUGCGCGCUCUUAGGCCUCUUCCUGGCCAUGCAAUGUGACUUUCAUCGGUCAUAAGGCCUAGGCACAGAAUACUCCUAUUCGAGUGAAUGGGUCUGAGCUGCAAUGCCAAGCACAGCUACUAUUCAACAGAUGGCGCUGUGCUUGGUAAGCUGUGAGGAGGCUUUGUAUUAACUGGACCUCCAGUGAGCACUGAGGCUUCCUCAGACAGCUGAUUGAUGGGGGUGCAGGGACCGGACCUCUGCUGAUCUCAUAUUGAUGACCUAUGCUGAGAAAAAUCUUUGUUUCCCUUUAAUGAUGAAAAACGGAAACAAAAUAUGCAAAACAUCUUGCUUUAUUCAGUAUUGAGUAUGAGAGCCAAGUGCAUAAAUACAUUCACUUACACGCCUUGGCAUCCUACCAAUGAGGUUACUAAUGUCUGAGGAAUGUUCUGCCAUGCUGAAUGCAUUUGGGCAAGCAAAUCAUCAAGAUCUGCUGCUGGUACCUACA
RNA transcript from Bufo gargarizans (Asiatic toad), 1599 nucleotides. It is a transcript of the gene named gastrula zinc finger protein XlCGF66.1-like, with no coding region annotated. The transcript is spliced from 5 exons. NCBI's taxonomy places the organism in Eukaryota, Metazoa, Chordata, Amphibia, Anura, Bufonidae. The record is from RefSeq and is a predicted model, not a curated record.